GAAUUCGCCCUUAGAGUUUGAUCCUGGCUCAGGACGAACGCUGGCGGCGCGCCUAACACAUGCAAGUCGAACGAGCGAGAGAGAGCUUGCUUUCUCGAGCGAGUGGCGAACGGGUGAGUAACGCGUGAGGAACCUGCCUCAAAGAGGGGGACAACAGUUGGAAACGACUGCUAAUACCGCAUAAGCCCACGGUACCGCAUGGUACUGAGGGAAAAGGAUUUAUUCGCUUUAGGAUGGACUCGCGUCCAAUUAGCUAGUUGGUGAGGUAACGGCCCACCAAGGCGACGAUUGGUAGCCGGACUGAGAGGUUGAACGGCCACAUUGGGACUGAGACACGGCCCAGACUCCUACGGGAGGCAGCAGUGGGGGAUAUUGCACAAUGGGGGAAACCCUGAUGCAGCGACGCCGCGUGGAGGAAGAAGGUUUUCGGAUUGUAAACUCCUGUCGUUAGGGACGAUAAUGACGGUACCUAACAAGAAAGCACCGGCUAACUACGUGCCAGCAGCCGCGGUAAAACGUAGGGUGCAAGCGUUGUCCGGAAUUACUGGGUGUAAAGGGAGCGCAGGCGGGAAGACAAGUUGGAAGUGAAAACCAUGGGCUCAACCCAUGAAUUGCUUUCAAAACUGUUUUUCUUGAGUAGUGCAGAGGUAGAUGGAAUUCCCGGUGUAGCGGUGGAAUGCGUAGAUAUCGGGAGGAACACCAGUGGCGAAGGCGGUCUACUGGGCACCAACUGACGCUGAGGCUCGAAAGCAUGGGUAGCAAACAGGAUUAGAUACCCUGGUAGUCCAUGCCGUAAACGAUGA
This 803-nucleotide ribosomal RNA is filed under the name uncultured bacterium. Its description in RNAcentral is "bacterial SSU rRNA". It matches the Rfam family "Bacterial small subunit ribosomal RNA", at positions 1 to 812 of the family's 1533-position model. The record is from RNAcentral.